Molecule: long non-coding RNA, 708 nt
Organism: Uranotaenia lowii
Lineage: Eukaryota; Metazoa; Arthropoda; Insecta; Diptera; Culicidae
Exons: 3
Source: RefSeq, a predicted model, not a curated record
AUUGCGCUGAUGUUGUUUUGAUUUCGCUCGCGGUUCGGAUUUUCGGGAUUAAAUUUCUUAACAACGGAUUCGAUUUCCGGUUCGAAAAACGUCGUAAUCGGUUUGUAUGGUGUCAGCAAAUCAUUCAAUAAGGAAAAUGGGCAGGUUACGCGACCCAAGCGGACAAUCCGAGGAUUAAAUCUGAGCCGGGAACCUGCUGUGAAACACCAACACAAGAAUCGACGUCAAAAAUUGUUUGUGGCGAUUAUCGUGUUCAAUUUUACGACCUGAAAAUUUCAGUUUGAAAUAACUGUAAGGUUUCGAUCAAAUUGUUAUUAGGUGUUGGCUCGGAUGUGGUUUCGCAAUUCAAUGCAGCCGAUGACAUCCAUACGGUUUGUCGAGCACAUCAACUGGUUAUGGAAAGAUACAAAUGACACUUCAAUUAAACUGUUCAAACCGUUUGGUCGUUGGGUGCGGACAAUUGUUUUUGAGGUUAACAUGAAGGCCGAAUCGGGAAGAACAUUUUGGAAGGUAUCUCCGAAGAGUGCGGCUUACUUCCUUUCCACCCCCAAACGACCGACCAACCAAUCGAAAUAUCUCCGCGAAGUCUCAAAGAUUAUUUAAAAGUUUUUUUUUAAGCUGAUAGUCUAUGAUAGUUUUUUUUAAGACGAUGUACUUUACAAAGAUGGUAGAAGAAUGAGCACUUCACGAACAAAUGUGCACUUUCCC